CGGGAGGGCUUCCGGGCCGCGCUGCACUGGCGGCCACUCCCGACGCUCGGUCGCGCCUCCCUGGCAGGUGUGUGCCGGGAGUGAAAAAGGUUACUCUGCAAGAAUUCUGUUACAGAUGAGCGCAGAGUGGGUAAAACCAGAACCGAGCCUCUCUGGCCAGUGCAGGCCUUUGAUGAAGUAACAGCCCAACUCAAGAACAGCUAGGAAACCCUGGGAAGCAGGUGUCUGGCUGGCCCCGACGAAAGGAGGAAGCACCGCGCCAGGAUGCUUUCUUGCCUCAGGAGCACUGUGAUUUCUCCAGGAAGUCUGUAACCUUUUGCAUACUUCUCUAACUGAGAGCCACUAACCACAUGGUGGAGAAAUCAUGUAAUCUUAGAAGCUGAAAGAAAUUCACAGAAGUCUGGAAGAACUUCCUCUCCCUUUACCUCCUGGAACAG
This is a long non-coding RNA of Heterocephalus glaber (naked mole-rat), 437 nucleotides long. NCBI's taxonomy places the organism in Eukaryota, Metazoa, Chordata, Mammalia, Rodentia, Bathyergidae. The record is from Ensembl.